AGAGUUUGAUCCUGGCUCAGGAUGAACGCUGGCGGCGUGCUUAACACAUGCAAGUCGAACGAACCUUCGGGUUAGUGGCGGACGGGUGAGUAACGCGUGAGAAUCUGCCCUCAGGAGGGGGAUAACGGUUGGAAACGACCGCUAAUACCCCAUAUGCCGAGAGGUGAAAUGAAUUUCGCCUGAGGAUGAGCUCGCGUCUGAUUAGUUAGUUGGUGGGGUAAUGGCCUACCAAGACAUCGAUCAGUAGCUGGUCUGAGAGGAUGAUCAGCCACACUGGGACUGAGACACGGCCCAGACUCCUACGGGAGGCAGCAGUGGGGAAUUUUCCGCAAUGGGCGAAAGCCUGACGGAGCAACGCCGCGUGAGGGAUGAAGGCCUCUGGGCUGUAAACCUCUUUUAUCAAGGAAGAAGAUCUGACGGUACUUGAUGAAUAAGCCACGGCUAAUUCCGUGCCAGCAGCCGCGGUAAUACGGGAGUGGCAAGCGUUAUCCGGAAUUAUUGGGCGUAAAGCGUCCGCAGGCGGUCUGUCAAGUCUGCUGUUAAAGCGUGGAGCUUAACUCCAUUUCGGCAGUGGAAACUGACAGACUAGAGUGUGGUAGGGGCAGAGGGAAUUCCCGGUGUAGCGGUGAAAUGCGUAGAUAUCGGGAAGAACACCAGUGGCGAAGGCGCUCUGCUGGGCCAUAACUGACGCUCAUGGACGAAAGCCAGGGGAGCGAAAGGGAUUAGAUACCCCUGUAGUCCUGGCCGUAAACGAUGAACACUAGGUGUCGGGGGAAUCGACCCCCUCGGUGUCGUAGCCAACGCGUUAAGUGUUCCGCCUGGGGAGUACGCACGCAAGUGUGAAACUCAAAGGAAUUGACGG
Molecule: ribosomal RNA, 862 nt
Filed under: uncultured marine bacterium
Lineage: Bacteria
Description: bacterial SSU rRNA
Rfam family: Bacterial small subunit ribosomal RNA
Source: RNAcentral